Molecule: long non-coding RNA, 2282 nt
Filed under: Helianthus annuus (common sunflower)
Lineage: Eukaryota; Viridiplantae; Streptophyta; Magnoliopsida; Asterales; Asteraceae
Description: hypothetical non coding rna
Source: RNAcentral
UGCCGCACACUGUUGAUUCUCCGCCAAGUCGGCUCUGGUGGAUAGAACGAACGACGAAACGAGACCUGCCGAGAUGCGUGACGUGACAACGGCAUCCUACAAUUUUGGAUCGCCAAGUUCGAAUUACCCUUUUCAUCAUAAUCGAUAGUGGCUGCCUUAAUUAAUUCUAGGGUUCUGGCGAAGCCUCGGUCAUAGCCGCCUCCGUCGUCGGAACUAAUAGUUUCCUUCAUGAGGUUUUUUUUUUUACUGUUUAUCGUUUUUAUUUUGACUUGAGAUGUUGAAGAAGAGAAGGAGUGCAAUGAAUGAUCCCUUGAAAGCGUGUCUCUAAAUCCUCUAUCACACAAAACAUGUUUAGUUCAUGUGGGAUUGGAAUUGCAUUCUUUCAUAUGAUCCUUGAUCUUCGCUCGCAAUUGUAAAUACGCUUACCGCCCGGUUAAAUGAUGGAAUUCCCUAAAUUGAUGAGAAAUGGGUGCUUCUCGGUUUCUGUAUAUACGCAGCUACACUGUAUCUGCAUUUUGCCACAUCAGUCAUUAUUCAUGAAAUAACAACAUCUCUUGGAAUCUACUGUUUUAGAUUCGGCUGAUCGGAAUCAAGGGUUUCAAAUAAAGUGGUGGAACUUGCAUUAGUUAAUAGACCACAGAGUCAAAGUGGGAUUCAAGGAAACUUUGGGGGUGGCUUUUUGAGUCUUCGACUUGGAGGUAGUGAAGAACCGGUAUCUACUUCACCUUGCGUCAUGGAUUUAUAGCGGGAAUGGACGAUUUACACCCUAAUAUAGGUUUGCAAGUACAAAAGCUCAAUAGGCAGAAUCAACAUCAGUUCUAUUUGCCUUGAAACAUGCCCAGGCCCAAGGUAAUAUUGUAACUUCACCAAAUUAUGGGCUUGUUGGAUUAUCUAGAGGCAGUCUAAGUAUGAAAGAUGGUCAAACCACAAGAAAUGAUGGAUCCCCUGGUCAAAUGAAUUCACCCCAGGUUAAGAUUUUCUUUUUAUGAUCUAAUUCUUGGUUCUCUGUGUUAUUAUAACAUCUCUCUUUUAUCUACACAAUCCCCAACAAGACCACUUUAAUCUGUACUUCUGUUCAAAUAUCUGGCUAUUGAGAAUAAGAGGGGUUCGUUUAUGUAGUACAAUAAUUAGGGCUUAAAAUAAGAUAUCAGUUACAACGGUUGAAUUAGCUGUGUGUGUAACUUAUUGCCAUCCGGGGUUAAGCCAACUUCACUUGGUUGUGUACGCUUGACUGCAAGCCUUGAUAUAGAGGCUGCAAAUUCGGUGGGUUUUGAUAACGGAUCAAAAAAGAAAGUUUUAGGAUGGAAAACAAAUUGUGUGGGUUCCAUGAGCUUCAUUUUGGUUUCCUCUAAAGAAGGCCUUUGUGCUGCAAAAGCAAAACUUCAUAGCUGUAGAGCAAAUAAGUGGUCAAUUGGACUAAAUUAACUUUAAAAGUAAAUUGAUAAAUAACUAGAGACAUGAACAAUUGUUAAGAGUCGAAUAAAGUAAUAAACUACUGGGAAUAUAAAAAGUCAAAGUUUUAAAGUAGGACAGGAACCAGUUCAUGUUUGUCAACUGUCCUGUUGUCUUCUUGUGACUUUUGAAACUUAGAUGUGGAUAUUUCUAUAACUUGAUCAACUAUAUAGACAGUUGCCCAAGAGUUUCAAUUGAAUAUCCAUAUGGAGCACCACCACAAGCUUACCAAAAAAAAGAAAUACGAUGUGCAGUAAUAGGUGUUUUUUUUUUUUUUUUUUUUUUUGAAACAAUGAUGUAGUAUCAUAGUGUGGAUUGCACCAUUUGAUCCAACUAAGAAGGAUGAGGAGGUUAUUCAAGAUGUCAACUGUAAGUACUUUUUAAAAUUCUUUUUUUACUAAGAUAAUGCGAUUAGUGAUCCGAUCCUCUUUGUAUUAACUAUGAACUUAAUAACAAGCAUUAAAUAGUGUGAUUAUAUAAACCAUUAAAAGUACUUUAACGAACCACUAGCCCGUAACUUAGAAAUUACACUACAUCAGUUUAUGAGCAGCAUCUGGUUAUGAGCCCGUAAAAUAUCACGGUCAAUGGCCCUUCAAACGAGUAUUUGGAAUUCAGGUCUGUUAUCAUCAAUCUUAUACCUCAUAAUCUCAAUGCUUUUUUUGAUCUUCAAUCUUAAGCAACGUAUUGUAAUUUUUCCAGGAGCCUGCUUUUGUCGCGUUUUCUGCACUUAAAAAAAUUUGUUGACAUGACACAUAAAUGCCAAAUGGAUUAGAAAAAAAAAUGAGAAAUAGGUUUAAAAAUUUUUUAAAAAAUUGUAGAAAUGUUAACAA